This 220-nucleotide ribosomal RNA is filed under the name uncultured fungus. RNAcentral describes it as "partial 18S ribosomal RNA". The stretch from base 40 to 220 matches the Rfam family "Eukaryotic small subunit ribosomal RNA", at positions 686 to 868 of the family's 1831-position model. The record is from RNAcentral. Lineage: Eukaryota; Fungi.
GGGUCAGCAGGUUGGUCGUGCCAUUGGUAUGCACUGGCCUUGCUGAUUCCUCCCUCUUGAUGAGCCGUAAUGUCAUUAAUUUGGUGUUGCGGGGAAUCAGGACUGUUACUUUGAAAAAAUUAGAGUGUUUAAAGCAGGCGAGCGCUUGAAUACAUUAGCAUGGAACAAUGAAAUAGGACGUUCGAUCCUAUUUUGUUGGUUUCUAGGAUUGACGUAAUGA